AUGCGGCAACAUAGCGGUGGGUCUCCGGUCAGGGGCGAGAUUGGCGCCGGAAGCGGUCGUCGGUGUAGUUGUAGGCUUUUGGGCGGUAAGCUACGAACUUGUGGAAUAGGCGUUGUGUUUGAUCGGAGGCGCAUGGGUGGCAUUAUCUUGUUUCGCGAGUGGUGCUUGUGCAGGGUCGAGGAAGCUUGUGGUGUUGUGAUAUAG
Vicia faba (fava bean) is the source of this 204-nucleotide non-coding RNA. The record is from the annotation of a GenBank genome assembly. Lineage: Eukaryota; Viridiplantae; Streptophyta; Magnoliopsida; Fabales; Fabaceae.